UAAUGCCCCUAAAAAUCCUUA
Molecule: microRNA, 21 nt
Filed under: Callorhinchus milii (elephant shark)
Lineage: Eukaryota; Metazoa; Chordata; Chondrichthyes; Chimaeriformes; Callorhinchidae
Also listed under: 35 other names
Description: Cmi-Mir-193-P2a_3p (mature (guide))
Source: RNAcentral